Molecule: ribosomal RNA, 253 nt
Filed under: uncultured bacterium
Lineage: Bacteria
Description: partial 16S ribosomal RNA
Rfam family: Bacterial small subunit ribosomal RNA
Source: RNAcentral
GACGAACCGUCCGAACGUUAUUCGGAAUCACUGGGCUUAAAGCGUUCGUAGGCGGGCUUGCAGGCGCGUUGUGAAAGCCCCCGGCUCAACCGGGGAACUGCUUCGCGAACCGCAAGUCUUGAGUCAAGUAGGGGCGGUCGGAACGAUAGGUGGAGCGGUGAAAUGCGUAGAUAUCUAUCGGAACGCCAAAGGUGAAGACAGGCCGCUGGGCUUGUACUGACGCUGAGGAACGAAAGCGUGGGGAGCAAACGGG